UCCUCCCUCUGGCGUCGUGCUUAACAUAUGCAAGUCGAACGGAAAGGCCCUGCUUUUGUGGGGUGCUCGAGUGGCGAACGGGUGAGUAACACGUGAGUAACCUGCCCUUGACUUUGGGAUAACUUCAGGAAACUGGGGCUAAUACCGGAUAGGAGCUCCUGCUGCAUGGUGGGGGUUGGAAAGUUUCGGCGGUUGGGGAUGGACUCGCGGCUUAUCAGCUUGUUGGUGGGGUAGUGGCUUACCAAGGCUUUGACGGGUAGCCGGCCUGAGAGGGUGACCGGCCACAUUGGGACUGAGAUACGGCCCAGACUCCUACGGGAGGCAGCAGUGGGGAAUAUUGCACAAUGGGCGGAAGCCUGAUGCAGUAACGCCGCGUGCGGGAUGACGGCCUUCGGGUUGUAAACCGCUUUCGCCUGUGACGAAGCGUGAGUGACGGUAAUGGGUAAAGAAGCACCGGCUAACUACGUG
Molecule: ribosomal RNA, 468 nt
Filed under: uncultured bacterium
Lineage: Bacteria
Description: partial 16S ribosomal RNA
Rfam family: Bacterial small subunit ribosomal RNA
Source: RNAcentral